This 476-nucleotide ribosomal RNA is filed under the name uncultured bacterium. Its description in RNAcentral is "bacterial SSU rRNA". It matches the Rfam family "Bacterial small subunit ribosomal RNA", at positions 28 to 507 of the family's 1533-position model. The record is from RNAcentral.
GACGAACGCUGGCGGCGUGCCUAACACAUGCAAGUCGAACGGGGGAACAUGAAGUAUUUCGGUACGGAAUGCGCCCCUAGUGGCGAACGGGUGAGUAACACGUGGGCAACCUGCCCCAGACUGGGGGAUAACAUUGUGAAAACAGUGCUAAUACCGCAUGACAGGGUUCCGGGCAUCCGGGACCCUUGAAAGGAGAAAUCCGGUCAGGGAUGGGCCCGCGUCCAAUUAGCUAGUUGCGGGGUAACGGCCCACCAAGGCGACGAUUGGUAGCCGAACUGAGAGGUUGAUCGGCCACAUUGGGACUGAGACACGGCCCAGACUCCUACGGGAGGCAGCAGUGGGGAAUAUUGGGCAAUGGGCGAAAGCCUGACCCAGCGACGCCGCGUGAAGGAUGAAGGUCUUCGGAUUGUAAACUUCUUUGAUCAGGGAAGAAAGAAAUGACGGUACCUGAAAAACAAGCCACGGCUAACUACGUG